GGAAAGGCAAUGAUGGGGAGGAGUAGGCGAGCCUACCUCGACAGAGAGGAAACCCGCAGGCUGAAAGGUUUCCGGGGGAAUGCGCUGAAGGUCGCCCCAGAGCUCUGCUGUUGAAGAAAAGUAGACAGCAGCGGGUCUGCCCGUUACAGCUGUAGAGGGUUUCUCUGCUGUUCCGGCAGGGAAAAACUAAGGUGGUACCGCGGAAGCCUGGCUCUUUCGCCCUUAGG
Molecule: non-coding RNA, 227 nt
Rfam family: T-box leader
About the family: Uncharged tRNA acts as the effector for transcription antitermination of genes in the T-box leader family. T-boxes are found upstream of many aminoacyl-tRNA synthetase genes and some amino acid biosynthetic genes usually in Gram-positive bacteria.